GAGAGAACUGAACUUGGUACUUGUCACCUGGGGAAUUGGAUCUAAUGGCAGUUCUUGAAAUCCCCGGGAGCCAAGUACUAUUAUUAGUCACAUUUAACAGCUGAGGAAACUGAAGCCAACAGAGGUGAAGUGACUUGCCCAGGAUCACACAGGU
RNAcentral lists this long non-coding RNA (154 nucleotides) under Monodelphis domestica (gray short-tailed opossum). RNAcentral describes it as "lncRNA (ENSMODG00000041756.1)". Lineage: Eukaryota; Metazoa; Chordata; Mammalia; Didelphimorphia; Didelphidae. The record is from RNAcentral.